UACGUAGGGGGCAAGCGUUGUCCGGAAUUAUUGGGCGUAAAGAGCUCGUAGGCGGCUUGUCGCGUCGUUCGUGAAAACCUGCAGCUCAACUGCAGGCUUGCGGUCGAUACGGGCAGGCUAGAGUUCGGUAGGGGAGACUGGAAUUCCUGGUGUAGCGGUGAAAUGCGCAGAUAUCAGGAAGAACACCCGUGGCUAAGGCGGCUCUCUAGUACGGUACUGACGCUGAGACGCGAAAGCGUGGGGAGCGAACAGG
RNAcentral lists this ribosomal RNA (253 nucleotides) under uncultured bacterium. Its description in RNAcentral is "partial 16S ribosomal RNA". It matches the Rfam family "Bacterial small subunit ribosomal RNA", at positions 524 to 776 of the family's 1533-position model. The record is from RNAcentral.